GGAUAGAUGGCUGAGUGGUUUAAAGUAUCAGUCUUGAAAACUGAAGUAUAUUUUUAUACCGUGGGUUCAAAUCCCACUCUAUCCU
RNAcentral lists this transfer RNA (85 nucleotides) under Aphanomyces invadans. RNAcentral's name for it is "tRNA-Ser". It matches the Rfam family "tRNA". Rfam says of the family: Transfer RNA (tRNA) molecules are approximately 80 nucleotides in length. Lineage: Eukaryota; Oomycota; Saprolegniomycetes; Saprolegniales; Verrucalvaceae. The record is from RNAcentral.